RNAcentral lists this ribosomal RNA (301 nucleotides) under uncultured bacterium. RNAcentral describes it as "partial 16S ribosomal RNA". It matches the Rfam family "Bacterial small subunit ribosomal RNA", at positions 509 to 809 of the family's 1533-position model. The record is from RNAcentral.
CAGCAGCCGCGGUAAUACGAGGGGGGCAAGCGUCGUUCGGAAUUAUUGGGCGUAAAGGGUGCGUAGGCGGUUUGACAAGUCUUGUGUGAAAUCUCUGGGCUCAACCCAGAGUCUGCACGGGAAACUGUCGGGCUAGAGGAUGGGAGAGGUGAGUGGAAUUUCCGGUGUAGCGGUGAAAUGCGUAGAUAUCGGAAGGAACACCUGUGGCGAAGGCGGCUCACUGGACCAUUUCUGACGCUGAUGCACGAAAGCUAGGGGAGCAAACAGGAUUAGAUACCCCCGUAGUCCCUGUCUUUUAUAC